UACGAAGGGUGCAAGCGUUACUCGGAAUUACUGGGCGUAAAGCGUGCGUAGGUGGUUUGUUAAGUCUGAUGUGAAAGCCCUGGGCUCAACCUGGGAAUGGCAUUGGAUACUGGCGAGCUAGAGUGCGGUAGAGGGUAGUGGAAUUCCCGGUGUAGCAGUGAAAUGCGUAGAGAUCGGGAGGAACAUCUGUGGCGAAAGCGCUCUACUGGACCGCAACUGACACUCAGGGACGAAAGCUAGGGGAGCGAAUGGG
RNAcentral lists this ribosomal RNA (253 nucleotides) under uncultured bacterium. Its description in RNAcentral is "partial 16S ribosomal RNA". It matches the Rfam family "Bacterial small subunit ribosomal RNA", at positions 524 to 776 of the family's 1533-position model. The record is from RNAcentral.